CAACAGGUAAAAAACAAGAAACUUCCUGUCAUAACACUGAAUUGAGGCGCGUGCCACUCCUCAGCCUCCAUUCAUUUCCCAUUGCGCACUAUUGUGAGGAUUUCUCGAUAAAAAUCCCCGAAGUGUUCAAGGAGCACCAGUAUAUCCAAACUGAAGAUACUGUGGCUGGAGGAGGUCUCGGUGAUGCUGGUUUCCUCUUCUGCCCUCUGGAUGAGACCAGACCAGCACUGCAACAACCUGGCCAUGCAUAGCAAACAUAAGGCCAGCCAGCCCACAAACAGAGUCUCCCUCAUGUGAAAUUGAGCUCAGAUCACGAUUGGCAUGCAUGAUGUCGAGUGCCAUCCAGGACACAGGGAUAAGGUUAGUGAGUGAACCAAACAGAUGAAAAAACACACUGCUCUAAUCAGGAAGUGUCUGGCACUGUCAGAAUGGAUGCACUGAAUGGCCGCAAGUGAACUGAUCCAUGCAACUGGCAGAACCAAAGAGAGAGUUAGAAAGUAUCACACUGACCACAGGGCUGGAUCUGAAUAGGCUUUGCAUGAUAAUGAACUGGCAUUUUGGGUAAAAUAACAUUUAGUCUAUAGUCCUUCAUAUUCCUAUUUUACAGAGUCAUCUCUAUUGUUUAGAACCUUAACCAUGAUUUUUUUAUGGUUUAAUAAUCAUUUCAGAUCUCAUGAUGAAGUCUAGAAUAGAUGCCAAGUUAAUGUUUGUUACAAUCUUCAGAGCUUAUGACAUAAUGCACAAUCACGUCCUCAUUCAAGUGCAUCCAUUGACUGA
Molecule: non-coding RNA, 777 nt
Organism: Misgurnus anguillicaudatus (oriental weatherfish)
Lineage: Eukaryota; Metazoa; Chordata; Actinopteri; Cypriniformes; Cobitidae
Source: RefSeq, a predicted model, not a curated record